This 363-nucleotide long non-coding RNA is filed under the name Equus asinus (donkey). RNAcentral describes it as "lncRNA (ENSEASG00005036157.1)". The record is from RNAcentral. Lineage: Eukaryota; Metazoa; Chordata; Mammalia; Perissodactyla; Equidae.
AGGCUGCUGAAGCACAGCAUGUGAAUUUAACCACUCAGCCACAGGGCCGGCCUCCAUACCAUCACUUCUGCCAUAUACUGUUGGUCACACAGACCAAGUCUGGUACAAUCUGGCAGGGAAAUGUGAAUACCAGGAGGAAGAUUAGGCCUGAGCUAACAUCUACCACCAAUCCUCCUCUCUUUGCUGAGGAACAUUGGACCUGAGCUAACACCCAGGAUCUGAACCGGUGGACCACAAGCCGCUGAAGCGGAACAUGCGAACUUAACCACUGCGCCAUCAGGCCGCCCCCUUACCUGUAUUUUCUAAUUCUCUACAAUGCAUAUAUACUACUUCUAUAAUAAUAAAUGGUACUUUUUCAACGGA